GGGGGGAGGCCGGAUCCUGGGCUGUGUCCCGGCGCCCUGUGCUCCGGGGCCUGCGCUGGUGGAUUCGCGCUCCCGGCCGCUGCCGCGCAACCCCCU
This is a non-coding RNA of Canis lupus familiaris (dog), 96 nucleotides long. The record is from Rfam. NCBI's taxonomy places the organism in Eukaryota, Metazoa, Chordata, Mammalia, Carnivora, Canidae.